UACCUGCAGCUCGAGUGGUAGCCGCUAUUAUUGGGCCUAAAGCGUCCGUAGCCGGUUUGGUAAAUAUCUGGGUAAAUCGUGAGGCUUAACUUCACGAAUUUCGGAUAGACUGCCAGACUUGGGAUCGGGGGAGGUCAGAGGUACUCCAGGGGUAGCGGUGAAAUGUUGUAAUCCUUGGAGGACCACCGGUAGCGAAGGCGUCUGACUAGAACGAGUCCGACGGUGAGGGACGAAGCCCUGGGGCGCAAACCGGAUUAGAUACCCGGGUAGUCCAGGGUGUAAACGAUGUGGGCUUUGUAUUGGAGGUCCCACGUGGGCGUCCAGUGCAGAAGAGAAGUUGUUAAGCCCACCGCCUGGGAAGUACGGUCGCAAGGCUGAAACUUAAAGGAAUUGGCGGGGGGGCACAGCAACGGGUGGAGCGUGCGGUUU
This 429-nucleotide ribosomal RNA is filed under the name uncultured archaeon. Its description in RNAcentral is "bacterial SSU rRNA". It matches the Rfam family "Archaeal small subunit ribosomal RNA", at positions 474 to 903 of the family's 1478-position model. The record is from RNAcentral.